CCUUCGAUAGCUCAGUUGGUAGAGUGGAGGACUGUAGAUCCUUAGGUCGCUGGUCCGACUCCGGCUCGAAGGA
RNAcentral lists this transfer RNA (73 nucleotides) under Petromyzon marinus (sea lamprey). RNAcentral's name for it is "tRNA-Tyr (GTA) (tRNA-Tyr-GTA-15-1)". It matches the Rfam family "tRNA". From Rfam's summary of the family: Transfer RNA (tRNA) molecules are approximately 80 nucleotides in length. Their secondary structure includes four short double-helical elements and three loops (D, anti-codon, and T loops). Lineage: Eukaryota; Metazoa; Chordata; Hyperoartia; Petromyzontiformes; Petromyzontidae. The record is from RNAcentral.